RNAcentral lists this ribosomal RNA (2788 nucleotides) under human gut metagenome. RNAcentral's name for it is "bacterial LSU rRNA". It matches the Rfam family "Bacterial large subunit ribosomal RNA". The record is from RNAcentral.
AGCGUACACGGUGGAUGCCCUGGCAGUCAGAGGCGAUGAAGGACGUGCUAAUCUGCGAUAAGCGUCGGUAAGGUGAUAUGAACCGUUAUAACCGGCGAUUUCCGAAUGGGGAAACCCAGUGUGUUUCGACACACUAUCAUUAACUGAAUCCAUAGGUUAAUGAGGCGAACCGGGGGAACUGAAACAUCUAAGUACCCCGAGGAAAAGAAAUCAACCGAGAUUCCCCCAGUAGCGGCGAGCGAACGGGGAGCAGCCCAGAGCCUGAAUCAGUGUGUGUGUUAGUGGAAGCGUCUGGAAAGGCGCGCGAUACAGGGUGACAGCCCCGUACACAAAAAUGCACAUGCUGUGAGCUCGAUGAGUAGGGCGGGACACGUGGUAUCCUGUCUGAAUAUGGGGGGACCAUCCUCCAAGGCUAAAUACUCCUGACUGACCGAUAGUGAACCAGUACCGUGAGGGAAAGGCGAAAAGAACCCCGGCGAGGGGAGUGAAAAAGAACCUGAAACCGUGUACGUACAAGCAGUGGGAGCCUCUUUAUGGGGUGACUGCGUACCUUUUGUAUAAUGGGUCAGCGACUUAUAUUCUGUAGCAAGGUUAACCGAAUAGGGGAGCCGAAGGGAAACCGAGUCUUAACUGGGCGUUAAGUUGCAGGGUAUAGACCCGAAACCCGGUGAUCUAGCCAUGGGCAGGUUGAAGGUUGGGUAACACUAACUGGAGGACCGAACCGACUAAUGUUGAAAAAUUAGCGGAUGACUUGUGGCUGGGGGUGAAAGGCCAAUCAAACCGGGAGAUAGCUGGUUCUCCCCGAAAGCUAUUUAGGUAGCGCCUCGUGAAUUCAUCUCCGGGGGUAGAGCACUGUUUCGGCAAGGGGGUCAUCCCGACUUACCAACCCGAUGCAAACUGCGAAUACCGGAGAAUGUUAUCACGGGAGACACACGGCGGGUGCUAACGUCCGUCGUGAAGAGGGAAACAACCCAGACCGCCAGCUAAGGUCCCAAAGUCAUGGUUAAGUGGGAAACGAUGUGGGAAGGCCCAGACAGCCAGGAUGUUGGCUUAGAAGCAGCCAUCAUUUAAAGAAAGCGUAAUAGCUCACUGGUCGAGUCGGCCUGCGCGGAAGAUGUAACGGGGCUAAACCAUGCACCGAAGCUGCGGCAGCGACGCUUAUGCGUUGUUGGGUAGGGGAGCGUUCUGUAAGCCUGUGAAGGUGUGCUGUGAGGCAUGCUGGAGGUAUCAGAAGUGCGAAUGCUGACAUAAGUAACGAUAAAGCGGGUGAAAAGCCCGCUCGCCGGAAGACCAAGGGUUCCUGUCCAACGUUAAUCGGGGCAGGGUGAGUCGACCCCUAAGGCGAGGCCGAAAGGCGUAGUCGAUGGGAAACAGGUUAAUAUUCCUGUACUUGGUGUUACUGCGAAGGGGGGACGGAGAAGGCUAUGUUGGCCGGGCGACGGUUGUCCCGGUUUAAGCGUGUAGGCUGGUUUUCCAGGCAAAUCCGGAAAAUCAAGGCUGAGGCGUGAUGACGAGGCACUACGGUGCUGAAGCAACAAAUGCCCUGCUUCCAGGAAAAGCCUCUAAGCAUCAGGUAACAUCAAAUCGUACCCCAAACCGACACAGGUGGUCAGGUAGAGAAUACCAAGGCGCUUGAGAGAACUCGGGUGAAGGAACUAGGCAAAAUGGUGCCGUAACUUCGGGAGAAGGCACGCUGAUAUGUAGGUGAAGUCCCUCGCGGAUGGAGCUGAAAUCAGUCGAAGAUACCAGCUGGCUGCAACUGUUUAUUAAAAACACAGCACUGUGCAAACACGAAAGUGGACGUAUACGGUGUGACGCCUGCCCGGUGCCGGAAGGUUAAUUGAUGGGGUUAGCGGUAACGCGAAGCUCUUGAUCGAAGCCCCGGUAAACGGCGGCCGUAACUAUAACGGUCCUAAGGUAGCGAAAUUCCUUGUCGGGUAAGUUCCGACCUGCACGAAUGGCGUAAUGAUGGCCAGGCUGUCUCCACCCGAGACUCAGUGAAAUUGAACUCGCUGUGAAGAUGCAGUGUACCCGCGGCAAGACGGAAAGACCCCGUGAACCUUUACUAUAGCUUGACACUGAACAUUGAGCCUUGAUGUGUAGGAUAGGUGGGAGGCUUUGAAGUGUGGACGCCAGUCUGCAUGGAGCCGACCUUGAAAUACCACCCUUUAAUGUUUGAUGUUCUAACGUUGACCCGUAAUCCGGGUUGCGGACAGUGUCUGGUGGGUAGUUUGACUGGGGCGGUCUCCUCCUAAAGAGUAACGGAGGAGCACGAAGGUUGGCUAAUCCUGGUCGGACAUCAGGAGGUUAGUGCAAUGGCAUAAGCCAGCUUGACUGCGAGCGUGACGGCGCGAGCAGGUGCGAAAGCAGGUCAUAGUGAUCCGGUGGCUCUGAAUGGAAGGGCCAUCGCUCAACGGAUAAAAGGUACUCCGGGGAUAACAGGCUGAUACCGCCCAAGAGUUCAUAUCGACGGCGGUGUUUGGCACCUCGAUGUCGGCUCAUCACAUCCUGGGGCUGAAGUAGGUCCCAAGGGUAUGGCUGUUCGCCAUUUAAAGUGGUACGCGAGCUGGGUUUAGAACGUCGUGAGACAGUUCGGUCCCUAUCUGCCGUGGGCGCUGGAGAACUGAGGGGGGCUGCUCCUAGUACGAGAGGACCGGAGUGGACGCAUCACUGGUGUUCGGGUUGUCAUGCCAAUGGCACUGCCCGGUAGCUAAAUGCGGAAGAGAUAAGUGCUGAAAGCAUCUAAGCACGAAACUUGCCCCGAGAUGAGUUCUCCCUGACUCCUUGA